This 301-nucleotide ribosomal RNA is filed under the name uncultured bacterium. RNAcentral's name for it is "partial 16S ribosomal RNA". It matches the Rfam family "Bacterial small subunit ribosomal RNA", at positions 509 to 807 of the family's 1533-position model. The record is from RNAcentral.
CAGUAGCCGCGGGAAUACAGAGGGUGCGAGCGUUAAUCGGAUUUACUGGGCGUAAAGCGUGCGUAGGCGGCUUCUUAAGUCGGAUGUGAAAUCCCUGAGCUUAACUUGGGAAUUGCAUUCGAUACUGGGAAGCUAGAGUAUGGGAGAGGAUGGUAGAAUUCCAGGUGUAGCGGUGAAAUGCGUAGAGAUCUGGAGGAAUACCGAUGGCGAAGGCAGCCAUCUGGCCUAAUACUGACGCUGAGGUACGAAAGCAUGGGGAGCAAACAGGAUUAGAUACCCCCGUAGUCCCUGUCUCUUAUAC